CCUUUGUACACACCGCCCGUCGCUACUACCGAUUGAAUGGCUUAGUGAGGUCUUCGGAUUGGCCUCGGGGAGCCGGAAACGGCACCCUUUGGCUGAAAAGUCGAUCAAACUUGGUCAUUUAGAGG
Molecule: ribosomal RNA, 125 nt
Filed under: Agaricomycetes sp.
Lineage: Eukaryota; Fungi; Basidiomycota; Agaricomycetes
Description: partial small subunit ribosomal RNA
Rfam family: Eukaryotic small subunit ribosomal RNA
Source: RNAcentral